RNAcentral lists this ribosomal RNA (440 nucleotides) under uncultured bacterium. Its description in RNAcentral is "partial 16S ribosomal RNA". It matches the Rfam family "Bacterial small subunit ribosomal RNA", at positions 338 to 795 of the family's 1533-position model. The record is from RNAcentral.
CCUACGGGUGGCUGCAGUGGGGGAUAUUGCACAAUGGGGGGAACCCUGAUGCAGCGACGCCGCGUGGGUGAAGAAGCGCCUCGGCGCGUAAAGCCCUGUCAGCAGGGAAGAAAAUGACGGUACCUGAAGAAGAAGCCCCGGCUAACUACGUGCCAGCAGCCGCGGUAAUACGUAGGGGGCAAGCGUUAUCCGGAUUUACUGGGGGUAAAGGGGGCGCAGACGGCGAUGCAAGCCAGGAGUGAAAGGCCGGGGCCCAACCCCGGGACUGCUGUUGGAACUGCGUGGCUGGAGUGCAGGAGGGGCAGGCGGAAUUCGUGGUGUAGCGGGGAAAGGCGUAGAUAGCAGGAGGAACACCGGUGGCGAAGGCGGCCUGCUGGACUGCAACUGACGUGGAGGCCCGAAAGCGUGGGGAGCGAACAGGAGUAGAUACCCUUGUAGGC